This 434-nucleotide ribosomal RNA is filed under the name uncultured Lachnospiraceae bacterium. Its description in RNAcentral is "partial 16S ribosomal RNA". It matches the Rfam family "Bacterial small subunit ribosomal RNA", at positions 341 to 792 of the family's 1533-position model. The record is from RNAcentral. Lineage: Bacteria; Bacillati; Bacillota; Clostridia; Lachnospirales; Lachnospiraceae.
AAGGGAGGCAGCAGUGGGGAAUAUUGGACAAUGGGGGAAACCCUGAUCCAGCGACGCCGCGUGAGUGAAGAAGUAUUUCGGUAUGUAAAGCUCUAUCAGCAGGGAAGAUGAUGACGGGACCUGACUAAGAAGCCCCGGCUAACUACGUGCCAGCAGCCGCGGUAAUACGUAGGGGGCAAGCGUUAUCCGGAUUUACUGGGUGUAAAGGGAGCGUAGGCGGCCAGACAAGUCAGGUGUGAAAACCCGGGGCUCAACCCCGGGACUGCAUUGGAAACUGUCAGGCUAGAGUGCAGGAGAGGUAAGUGGAAUUCCUAGUGUAGCGGUGAAAUGCGUAGAUAUUAGGAGGAACACCAGUGGCGAAGGCGGCUUACUGGACUGUAACUGACGUUGAGGCUCGAAAGCGUGGGGAGCAAACAGGAUUAGAUACCCUGGUA